UACGAAGGGGGCUAGCGUUGCUCGGAAUCACUGGGCGUAAAGGGUGCGUAGGCGGGUCUUUUAAGUCAGGGGUGAAAUCCUGGAGCUCAACUCCAGAACUGCCUUCGAUACUGGCGAUCUUGAGUCCGGAAGAGGUGAGUGGAACUCCUAGUGUAGAGGUGGAAUUCGUAGAUAUUAGGAAGAACACCAGUGGCGAAGGCGGCUCACUGGUCCGGUACUGACGCUGAGGUGCGAAAAGCGUGGGGAGCAAACAGG
This 255-nucleotide ribosomal RNA is filed under the name uncultured bacterium. Its description in RNAcentral is "partial 16S ribosomal RNA". It matches the Rfam family "Bacterial small subunit ribosomal RNA", at positions 524 to 776 of the family's 1533-position model. The record is from RNAcentral.